RNAcentral lists this ribosomal RNA (1099 nucleotides) under Acinetobacter calcoaceticus. Its description in RNAcentral is "bacterial SSU rRNA". It matches the Rfam family "Bacterial small subunit ribosomal RNA", at positions 39 to 1132 of the family's 1533-position model. The record is from RNAcentral. Lineage: Bacteria; Pseudomonadati; Pseudomonadota; Gammaproteobacteria; Moraxellales; Moraxellaceae.
GCCAUGCGGAGCUACCAUGCAGUCGAGCGGAGAGAGGUAGCUUGCUACUGAUCUUAGCGGCGGACGGGUGAGUAAUGCUUAGGAAUCUGCCUAUUAGUGGGGGACAACAUUUCGAAAGGAAUGCUAAUACCGCAUACGUCCUACGGGAGAAAGCAGGGGAUCUUCGGACCUUGCGCUAAUAGAUGAGCCUAAGUCGGAUUAGCUAGUUGGUGGGGUAAAGGCCUACCAAGGCGACGAUCUGUAGCGGGUCUGAGAGGAUGAUCCGCCACACUGGGACUGAGACACGGCCCAGACUCCUACGGGAGGCAGCAGUGGGGAAUAUUGGACAAUGGGCGCAAGCCUGAUCCAGCCAUGCCGCGUGUGUGAAGAAGGCCUUAUGGUUGUAAAGCACUUUAAGCGAGGAGGAGGCUACUUUAGAUAAUACCUAGAGAUAGUGGACGUUACUCGCAGAAUAAGCACCGGCUAACUCUGUGCCAGCAGCCGCGGUAAUACAGAGGGUGCAAGCGUUAAUCGGAUUUACUGGGCGUAAAGCGCGCGUAGGCGGCUAAUUAAGUCAAAUGUGAAAUCCCCGAGCUUAACUUGGGAAUUGCAUUCGAUACUGGUUAGCUAGAGUGUGGGAGAGGAUGGUAGAAUUCCAGGUGUAGCGGUGAAAUGCGUAGAGAUCUGGAGGAAUACCGAUGGCGAAGGCAGCCAUCUGGCCUAACACUGACGCUGAGGUGCGAAAGCAUGGGGAGCAAACAGGAUUAGAUACCCUGGUAGUCCAUGCCGUAAACGAUGUCUACUAGCCGUUGGGGGCCUUUGAGGCUUUAGUGGCGCAGCUAACGCGAUAAGUAGACCGCCUGGGGAGUACGGUCGCAAGACUAAAACUCAAAUGAAUUGACGGGGGCCCGCACAAGCGGUGGAGCAUGUGGUUUAAUUCGAUGCAACGCGAAGAACCUUACCUGGGCCUUGACAUAGUAAGAACUUUCCAGAGAUGGAUUGGUGCCUUCGGGAACUUACAUACAGUGCUGCAUGGCUGUCGUCAGCUCGUGUCGUGAGAUGUUGGGUUAAGUCCCGCAACGAGCGCAACCCUUUUCCUUAUUUGCCAGCGAGUAAUGUC